This 929-nucleotide long non-coding RNA is filed under the name Homo sapiens (human). RNAcentral's name for it is "HSALNT0368497". Lineage: Eukaryota; Metazoa; Chordata; Mammalia; Primates; Hominidae. The record is from RNAcentral.
CUGGAGUGCAGUGCUGUGAUCUCACUGCAACCUCUGCCUCCCAGGAGAAUCUCUUGAACCUGGGAGGCAGAGGUUGUGGUGAGUUGUGCCACUGCACUCCAGCCUGGGCAACAAGAGCAAAACUCCAUCUCAAAAACAAAAACAAAAACAAAAAACCUAGAUGUUUAUGGUUAAGGAAACAAAUUAAUAAUAAUAAAAAAGAUAAUAUCGAUUCUUACAAAAUACAGUAAUUAAGAAAAUUAAUCCUUUAUCACAAACUUUUGUAGCAGAGCACAUCUCUCCAUAUAUACAAGCAUUAUACCGAGGGUGAAUGUGUUCCUCCUCUUACUUUUUUUUUUUGAGACAGAGUUUUGCCGGGCACAGUGGCUCACGCCUGUAAUCCCAGCACUUUGGAAGGCUGAGGGGGCGGAUCACGAGGUCAAUAGAUGGAGACCAUCCUGGCCAAUAUGGUGAAACCCCAUCUCUACUAAAAACACAAAAAUUAGCUGGGCGUAGUGGUGCGUGCCUGUAGUCCCAGCUACUUGGGAGGCUGAGUAGCUGGGACUACAGGCACACAUCAUUGUGCCCAGCUACUUUUUGUAUUUUUAGUAGAGACGGGGUUUCACCGUGUUGGCCAGGCUGGUCUCGAACUCCUGACCUCAGGUGAUCCACCUGCCUAGGCCUCCCAAAAUGCUGGGAUUACAGGUGUGGUGAGCCACUGCGCCUAGCCCCUCCUCUUACUUUGGGGAACAUCCUACUCUGUCUAUGGAGCAGCUGUUGUUUCACCACUUUACUUUCUUAAUAAACUUGCUUAUACUUUGCACUGCGACUCGCCCUGAAUCUUUCUUGCAUGAGAUCCAAGAACCCUCUCUUGUGGUCUGGAUUGGGACCCCUUUCCUGUAACAAAUGCAUUGGCUGAUAGGAGAAUAAAGAAAAAAAAAGAGGAAAAA